GGCAGAUCCCGUAAGUCGGGCGGCCGCGUAGUCGCUGUAGCCUCCGCUGCCGCAGCCACAUUCAACAGGCAGCAGCGCCGUGGUCGCGCCGCCGAGGAGAGCGAGCAGCCCGCGGCGCCCGUCAGUUGUCCAGUCCGCGGGCUUUGUCAGCAGGAGCGCGGCGCCGGUGCUGCCCGAGCCCGGCGACUCUGGCCUGCCGUCCCGUCGGUGCAGCGGACCCGGAGGAGUCUAGUUGUUGAUGGACUCGUGAAGUUAAGUUCUGGGCUCGCGCUUCCACUUCGCUGCGCCUUUCUCGCGGUUUCCGUCCGCUCGCGGCACCGACCUCGCCCCCAAUCUCGGACCAGCUCUUCGCGCCCCUCCCCCCUGGACCCCGGUCCUGCGCUCUACCCCUUCUUGGUUCUCCCCGGCUGGGGGAGGGGCGGGGGUCACCAUGGCCGAAGCGCCCCAGGUGGUGGAGAUUGAUCCGGACUUCGAGCCGCUGCCGCGGCCACGUUCGUGCACCUGGCCGCUGCCCAGGCCGGAAUUUAGCCAGUCCAACUCGGCCACCUCCAGCCCGGCGCCGUCGGGCAGCGCGGCCGCGAGCUCCGACGCCGCCGCGGGCCUGCCCUCGGCGGCCGCUGUCAACGCCGACUUCAUGAGCAACCUGAGCCUGCUGGAGGAGAGCGGGGACUUCCAGCAGGCGCCUGGCUCUGUGGCGGCGGCCGCGGCGGCGGCCGCGGUGGCGGCGGCGGCCGCCGCAGCGGCUGCCACCGGGGGGCUGUGCGGGGACUUCCAGGGCCCGGAGGCGGGCUGCCUACACCCGGGGCCGCCGCAGCCCCCGCCUCCCGGGCCGCUGUCUCAGCACCCGCCUGUGCCCCCCGCCGCUGCCGGGCCGCUGGCUGGGCAGCCGCGCAAGAGCAGCUCGUCCCGGCGCAACGCGUGGGGCAACUUGUCCUACGCGGACCUCAUCACCAAAGCCAUCGAGAGCUCGGCCGAGAAGCGGCUCACGCUGUCGCAGAUCUACGAGUGGAUGGUCAAGAGUGUGCCCUACUUCAAGGAUAAGGGCGACAGCAACAGUUCGGCGGGCUGGAAGAAUUCAAUUCGUCAUAAUCUGUCCCUGCACAGCAAGUUCAUCCGUGUGCAAAAUGAAGGAACUGGAAAAAGUUCUUGGUGGAUGCUCAACCCAGAAGGAGGCAAGAGUGGAAAAUCCCCCAGGAGAAGAGCUGCAUCCAUGGACAACAACAGUAAAUUUUCCAAGAGCCGCGGCCGAGCCGCCAAGAAAAAAGCAUCCCUCCAGUCUGGUCCAGAGGGUGCCGGGGACAGCCCAGGGUCUCAAUUCUCCAAGUGGCCUGCCAGCCCUGGCUCUCACAGCAAUGACGACUUUGAUAACUGGAACACAUUUCGCCCUCGAACUAGCUCAAAUGCUAGUACUAUUAGUGGGAGACUUUCUCCCAUUAUGACCGAACAGGAUGAUCUUGGAGAUGGCGAUGUGCAUUCAAUGGUGUACCCACCCUCCGCUGCAAAGAUGGCUUCUACUCUGCCCAGUCUGUCAGAGAUAAGCAAUCCCGAAAACAUGGAAAACCUUUUGGAUAAUCUCAACCUCCUGUCAUCACCACCGUCAUUAACUGUUUCAACCCAAUCUUCACCUGGUGCCAUGAUGCAACAGACACCAUGCUACUCCUUUGCACCGCCAAACACCAGCUUGAAUUCACCCAGUCCAAAUUACCAAAAAUAUACCUAUGGCCAAUCCAGCAUGAGCCCCUUGCCCCAGAUGUCAAUGCAAACACUUCAGGACAAUAAAUCGAGCUAUGGAGGUAUGAAUCAGUAUAAUUGUGCACCAGGACUCUUGAAGGAGUUACUUACUUCUGAUUCUCCUCCCCAUAAUGACAUUAUGGCGCCAGUUGAUCCUGGGGUGGCUCAACCUAACAGUAGGGUCCUGGGCCAGAAUGUGUUGAUGGGCCCUAAUCCGGUCAUGCCAAGCUAUGGCAGCCAGGCAUCUCAUAACAAAAUGAUGAAUCCCAGCUCCCAUUCCCACCCUGGACAUGCUCAGCCAACAUCUGUAGUUAAUGGGCGUGCCUUGCCCCACACAGUAAACACCAUGCCCCACACCUCGGGCAUGAACCGCCUGGCCCCAGUGAAGACAGCUUUACAAGUGCCUCUCCCUCACCCCAUGCAGAUGAACGCCCUUGGGGGCUAUUCUUCCAUGAGCAGCUGCAACGGCUAUGGCAGGAUGGGCAUUCUCCACCAGGAGAAGCUCCCGAGUGACUUGGACGGCAUGUUUAUUGAGCGCUUGGACUGUGACAUGGAAUCCAUCAUUCGGAACGACCUCAUGGAUGGAGAUACUUUGGAUUUUAAUUUUGACAAUGUGUUGCCCAACCAAAGCUUCCCACAUAGUGUCAAGACGACAACACAUAGCUGGGUGUCAGGCUAGGAGUGAGUUAUUGAGCAGGUAAGAUUACCCCACUAUCAAAAGACUUGCAAACAGAACUUAAAAGAGAGGAAUACUAUAACUUGCCAUCUAUCUUCCAUGGUUAAGACUUUCUAAAGGUCAACUAGCUACCUCUUGCAAAGAGGCUACACUUAAAAGUACUUCAGAUUGUCUGACAGCAAGAACUAAGAAGUCCAAAGAUGUCCUUCAUCCCGUCUUCUCAUUUUCUUGAUUAAAAAAAAAACACACACACCAAAAACCUUUUUUUAUUUUAUUUUUCUUUCGUCAGACUUGGCAGCAAAGACACUUUUCCUGUACAGGAUGUUUGCCCAACGUUUGCAGGUUAUGUGCUGCUGUAGAUAAGGACUGUGCCAUUGGAAAUUUCAUUACAAUCAAGUGCCAAACUCACUACACCAUAUAACUGCAGAAAAGACUUUCGGAUCCUGGUGUGCUUUCAAGUUUUGUAUAUAAGCAGUAGCUAUAGAAUUGUAUUUGUGUGUGUUUUGUUUUUUUAAGUAUAUCCAUUUGGUCCAAGGAAAGUUUAUACUCUUUUUGUAAUCUGUGAUGGUCUCCUGUCCUUGAUAAGUUAAACUUUUGUUUGUACUACCUGUGUUCUGCUGGACUGAUGAAUCACAGAGAAUCAAACUCUCCAUUCUGCACCUUCAUUGAACAGCUUUGAACCUGUUCAUUUUGCCACAUAAUUCCAUGAGAACCAGUAAUCUGUCAUCAAUCUGCUGAAUUAAUGGACUUGUCAAACUCUUUUGAAAAAAAAAAAAAAAAAGAGUAAACACCAGCCUUGUACAGGUUUUUUCUAUUUUUUUUUUUUUUUGGUUUAUUUUGUUAUUUGCAAAUUUGUACAAACAUAUAAAUGGUUCUAAUUUCCAGAUAAAUGAUUUUUGAUGUUAUUGUUGGGACUUGAGAUCAUUUUUGGAAUAGAUAUUGAACUGUAAUGUUUUCUUAAACCUAGAGUCUACUUUAUUACAGUAUACUUGUAAAUUUGUAGAAUUCCAGAUAUUUGAGACAGCAUCAAUAAUUUUCAUUUUGUAUUCUAACUGGAUUAGUACUAAUUUUGUACGUGCUUAACUGGUUUGUACACUUUGGGAUGCUGCUUGGUGAUAUUUCUGACUAAUCUUCAAAUCAUUGUAAUUAGUACUUGCAUACUCAAUGUUUCUGGCCCUAUUUUGGCAGGAGAGUGAUGCACAGUUUAAGGACAUUUUACGUUUCAUGUUUAGGAGAACUUGAUAUGUUUUUGUGUAUGUAUUUUAAAGAAAUUACAUCUGCUAUUACUCUGUGAACUAAGCAUACUGCAUAGCAUUGAGUCUUCUAAUAGAUACCUGUCUGCCUAUCGUGGCAGUUACUCCUAGACCUUGUAAUGUUUGUAGGUCAGAAAGGGAGAUCUGCAUCUAACACAGUACUCCUUUCUCAAACUGGGGCUUUUAACCUACAGCCAUUUUAAGCUGAGCUUCAACAAAUGUUUCCCCUCAUAAUUCUGUGCUUCUGUGUUGGUCUAGGAGGUGGAGGUUGGUUUAUAGUUCUGCCUUGAAGGGGUAUGGUAACACUUCAUGAUUCUUUCCCUUUGUCUUGCAGAUUACAUAGCACACUAUGGAGAGAGUAAGUCAAAGUAGGGGAUUUUGAAAUGUGACUUCAGUGACUUGUAGAAUGCUUUGUGUUCGUGAGUACAGAUGGCUACCAAAUGGAAAAGAACCUGUUUAAAAACUGGGGCAAUUAAUUUGAAAAUCAGCAAACCAGAUAUAAGUUUUAUAUUUGAAUUCUUUUAAAAGGCCUUUGCAUAAGAUAAGGAUUUCUUUAGCCUUUAGCAACCUAAACUUUAAUUCUGAUCAUUAGAUUUUAAUAUUUUCCAAUUACCUAUAACUGACAGACCAAGUCAAUUGGCUUUGUGUCUCACUUACAGUGUUGGUAUUUUCAAGACAUGUGGAUGCCUGAAGUCAGCAAAAUAAAAUGAACAGCUGAACAAAAAUGUUCCUCUUGCCUGCUGGAGAAGGUUCUGAUUUCUGUGUACUUAGCCCAGAUCACAUUUGCUUUGUCUUAUCUGUGAUUCGCAUCUCUGUUGGCUUGGUUUUUCAUACACGUUUAACAAGAAUAUAAGUGUCCCUGAUAGAUUUCCUAUAGGAGGCCAGCUCUGUGAUAAGCUUCCCACUGUAACUUCUAUUUUGGAAAUUCAUUAAACAACCACCUCUCUAACCAUCUUCAUUGUUGGACACUCCAAAAUAUGUCUGGUUUUAGAUAUCCUAGUUCCUCUCAGUACUGCCUCCUGCAUAUGGAACAGAACUUGUUGGUGCAGAGUACUUGUGUUUCUGUUACCACUGCUACCACUUCUCCUCCCAUGACAUUACACAGGAGCCUCAAUGACAGUGACUGCUAACAUCACUAUUAGCAUCUUAUUGCUUCACAGUGUGACUUUAAAAAAGAUGUUUCUCCCUCCCAUGUCUGUGUAAAUAUCUUUUUUUUUCUUUCAAAUUUUUCUUUAUGUUGGAAUUCUGACAUGAAUCCUGGGUAGCUAGCUCUCUGGGGUACAAUGAACUCCAGUGAAAGGCACCUCGUCUAUUUUGAAAACAUUAUGUGACCUCUGGUGAUUCUUUUUCUGUACGAAUACUGACAUUCUAGAGUAAUUAGUCUAUCAGUUACUGUACAUGAUUGCUUUGUGAAAUGUGCAAAUGAUAUCACCUAUGCAGCCUUGUUUGAUUUAUUUUCCUUGGUUUGUACUGUUAUUAAAAGCAUAUUGUAUUAUAGAGCUAUUCAGAUAAUUUUAAAUAUAAAGUAUUGUUUCUGUAAUAUAGGCGUAUGGAAUAUAUUUAGGUAAUAGAUACAUUACAUGGAAAGUUCGCUUUGACAAACUGACAGUCUAAAUUAAUUAGCAAAUGUUCUAUCCCAGCAAGCAGUGAAUCAACGGGACAUCCCAAGAAGAGAAGAUACUUGAAAUGGAAACAGUUCUCCAAAGGUAUACAUUUAGACUUGCUCAGCUACUGGAUAUAUGCUACCUAGCCCCACGAAAUUUUUACGGUCAGCUCUUAAGAGUUCUUAAUUUAUAACUGACUUUUAAAUGAGAAGUUUCUCUUUUGAUUUUAGUUUGGGAGUAAUCAUUCAGUAGAAAAACACAAUGUGGUUUAUGCAAACAAAGCUGCUGGGUGUGACUCUUGGCCUCCUCCUCGAGGGUGGUGCCCAGCCUGGCAGUGUGGCCAUGUGAGUCCUGUCAGGAUGUAGUCAUGCUCUCCUGAAUUUUGCUACUUGAGUUUAGUAACAGUGCAGAUUCCAUGUUCCUGUUCCAAUAUUCUGAGAAGUGCCUGAUGAUGCUGAUAUACUUACAGACACAAGAACAAUCUUUGCUAUUAUUGUAUAAAGCCAUAAAUGUACAUACAUUGUGUUUAAAUGGUUUGGUGUCUUUCUUUCCUAAUUGUGCAGAAUAAGCUCUUUAUUGGGAUUAAAAGUGUUUUGCUAUCA
Molecule: RNA transcript, 5866 nt
Organism: Myotis myotis
Lineage: Eukaryota; Metazoa; Chordata; Mammalia; Chiroptera; Vespertilionidae
Gene: FOXO1
Gene name: forkhead box O1
Exons: 3
Source: RefSeq, a predicted model, not a curated record